ACGCUGGCGGCGUGCCUAAUACAUGCAAGUAGAACGCUGAAGAGAGGAGCUUGCUCUUCCUGGAUGAGUUGCGAACGGGUGAGUAACGCGUAGGUAACCUGCCUUGUAGCGGGGGAUAACUAUUGGAAACGAUAGCUAAUACCGCAUAACAAUGGAUGACACAUGUCAUUUAUUUGAAAGGGGCAAUUGCUCCACUACAAGAUGGACCUGCGUUGUAUUAGCUAGUAGGUGAGGUAACGGCUCACCUAGGCGACGAUACAUAGCCGACCUGAGAGGGUGAUCGGCCACACUGGGACUGAGACACGGCCCAGACUCCUACGGGAGGCAGCAGUAGGGAAUCUUCGGCAAUGGGGGCAACCCUGACCGAGCAACGCCGCGUGAGUGAAGAAGGUUUUCGGAUCGUAAAGCUCUGUUGUAAGUCAAGAACGAGUGUGAGAGUGGAAAGUUCACACUGUGACGGUAGCUUACCAGAAAGGGACGGCUAACUACGUGCCAGCAGCCGCGGUAAUACGUAGGUCCCGAGCGUUGUCCGGAUUUAUUGGGCGUAAAGCGAGCGCAGGCGGUUUGAUAAGUCUGAAGUUAAAGGCUGUGGCUCAACCAUAGUUCGCUUUGGAAACUGUCAAACUUGAGUGCAGAAGGGGAGAGUGGAAUUCCAUGUGUAGCGGUGAAAUGCGUAGAUAUAUGGAGGAACACCGGUGGCGAAAGCGGCUCUCUGGUCUGUAACUGACGCUGAGGCUCGAAAGCGUGGGGAGCGAACAGGAUUAGAUACCCUGGUAGUCCACGCCGUAAACGAUGAGUGCUAGGUGUUGGAUCCUUUCCGGGAUUCAGUGCCGCAGCUAACGCAUUAAGCACUCCGCCUGGGGAGUACGACCGCAAGGUUGAAACUCAAAGGAAUUGACGGGGGCCCGCAC
This 911-nucleotide ribosomal RNA is filed under the name uncultured bacterium. Its description in RNAcentral is "bacterial SSU rRNA". It matches the Rfam family "Bacterial small subunit ribosomal RNA", at positions 33 to 926 of the family's 1533-position model. The record is from RNAcentral.